Long non-coding RNA from Catharus ustulatus (Swainson's thrush), 1235 nucleotides. RefSeq lists it as uncharacterized. The record is from RefSeq and is a predicted model, not a curated record. The transcript has 9 exons. Lineage: Eukaryota; Metazoa; Chordata; Aves; Passeriformes; Turdidae.
GACAGAUGGUACAAAACAGAGCACCUCAGCUUCCUAAAAAAUUAACCCAGCUUUGAACAUCUGGAAGCACAGAAUGCUGAAAAAAAAGAGGCUUUGUGCAGAGUUUUCAAACAGUUGGGAGGACACACACGUUCUGGUAUAAGGGCAGAACUGGUUGGAUGUGAGAUGCAGUGGAUAAGAGAGAAGUGGCACUCAAUUCUGCCUUUUAAGGAAUAUCCUAAUUGACAGAUCACUUCUCAAAUUGUGCUUCCAGGCAGAGAAGUAAAAGAAAUGGGAACAACUGUGAAGGUUCCCUGUCUUUACUGUCCUUCUACAGAAUUUUGUGAGGCCAUUUCUGUAGAUUUCAGCACAGAAGAGGAUUAACUGCAGCACAGGAACAGAAAUGAACAGUCAGCAUCUAAAGGAAAUACAAGAACUUCUAUGCCUAUUGUCAGAGAAAAAUGUCAGCUGGAUCAGUUAAGAAAAAGUCAGUGGUGGUGCAGAUGGUGAUGACAGCUCAUACAGAAAUGCUGCUAGAUUUCUAACCAUUGCCUCCAAAUACUGAUUUCAAACUGCAGUGCUAUAAUGACAGCAUAAAUGAAGUGGCAUCAAGAGUUUCCUCAAAUUUUUCCUGUGCUUGGAACCCUCUGGGGUCCGUGUGGAGCCUUUGACGCUGUUAACAAUUUCAAUCUGCACCAUUACAGCUGCAUUUUCCAACCGUCCCCUGGUAAUUGUUGCAAGGACUUAGACAAGGUUGUUCCCAAAUUACGCUGGUGUCGUGCUGGAAUGAGAUCAUCUCAGUUCAACCACCACUCAAAACAUCACUCUUACCCACAAAAAUCACUGGCUUUCACUCUCUCAAAGGUACAAAAGCUUCCUCCAGCCAUGCUUCUUUUCCAGGUGGAAGAUGAAAGAAAGGAACAGAUAGAGUCAACCACCUAAGCGUCAUAAGGCUAAAUAUUUGUUCACUUGCUUGAGAUGCAGUAAGUCCUGGAGUGCUCUCUGUUUACCCAAGAGGAUUUCAGCAUAGAGGCUUGCUCCAGAAAGGUUAAAGCCAAUGAGCUAAAACCAUGUGCAUUUGGUGGACAGUUGUUCCGCAAAGAUGACUGACAGAAGAAAGGCAAAAAAUACAAGCACAGCAGCAUGGCACAGCAGAAACCGGCUCAUUGGAGAUGGGAAAUGGACAGAACAGUAGUAGUUAUGCUUAUUUUUAUAUUUUUGACAUUAUUUUAUUUAUUAAAAGAUUUAAAAAAUCA